GCCGGGGUAGCUCAGCUUGGUAGAGCGCGGCCCUGAAAAGGCCGGCGUCGGCGGUUCAAAUCCGUUCCCCGGCACCA
This 77-nucleotide transfer RNA is filed under the name Candidatus Omnitrophota bacterium. RNAcentral describes it as "tRNA-Phe". It matches the Rfam family "tRNA". Rfam says of the family: Transfer RNA (tRNA) molecules are approximately 80 nucleotides in length. Their secondary structure includes four short double-helical elements and three loops (D, anti-codon, and T loops). Lineage: Bacteria; Pseudomonadati; Candidatus Omnitrophota. The record is from RNAcentral.